CACGUAGUUAGCCGGCGCUUUUUCUGCAGGUACCGUCACUCUCGCUUCUUCCCUGCUAAAAGAGGUUUACAACCCGAAGGCCGUCAUCCCUCACGCGGCGUUGCUGCAUCAGGCUUUCGCCCAUUGUGCAAUAUUCCCCACUGCUGCCUCCCGUAGGAGUCUGGGCCGUGUCUCAGUCCCAGUGUGGCCGGUCACCCUCUCAGGCCGGCUACCCGUCGACGCCUUGGUGAGCCAUUACCUCACCAACAAGCUGAUAGGCCGCGAGCCCAUCCCCAACCGAAAAAUCUUUCCCACCACAGAACAUGCGUUCAUGGUGCAUAUCCGGUAUUAGCAGCCGUUUCCGGCUGUUAUCCCAGAGUCAGGGGCAGGUUGCUCACGUGUUACUCACCCGUUCGCCACUAAUCCACCAGAGCAAGCUCCAGCUUCAUCGUUCGACUUGCAUGUGUUAAGCACGCCGCCAGCGUUCAUCCUGAGCCAGGAUCAAACUCU
This 489-nucleotide ribosomal RNA is filed under the name uncultured Microbacterium sp. RNAcentral describes it as "partial 16S ribosomal RNA". The record is from RNAcentral. Lineage: Bacteria; Bacillati; Actinomycetota; Actinomycetes; Micrococcales; Microbacteriaceae.